AGAGGGCGAUUGCCCGGUC
This 19-nucleotide small nuclear RNA is filed under the name Arabidopsis thaliana (thale cress). Its description in RNAcentral is "snRNA_11473". Lineage: Eukaryota; Viridiplantae; Streptophyta; Magnoliopsida; Brassicales; Brassicaceae. The record is from RNAcentral.